This 156-nucleotide ribosomal RNA is filed under the name Fulvia fulva. RNAcentral describes it as "Passalora fulva 5.8S ribosomal RNA". The stretch from base 1 to 106 matches the Rfam family "5.8S ribosomal RNA", at positions 49 to 154 of the family's 154-position model. From Rfam's summary of the family: 5.8S ribosomal RNA (5.8S rRNA) is a component of the large subunit of the eukaryotic ribosome. Lineage: Eukaryota; Fungi; Ascomycota; Dothideomycetes; Mycosphaerellales; Mycosphaerellaceae. The record is from RNAcentral.
CGAAAUGCGAUAAGUAAUGUGAAUUGCAGAAUUCAGUGAAUCAUCGAAUCUUUGAACGCACAUUGCGCCCGCCAGUAUUCUGGCGGGCAUGCCUGCCCGAGCGUCAUUUCAACCCUCGGGCCCCCCCCUUUUCCCCUCGCGGGGGAGGGGGCGGGC